CGCGUAGGUGGUUCGUUAAGUUGGAUGUGAAAGCCCCGGGCUCAACCUGGGAACUGCAUCCAAAACUGGCGAGCUAGAGUACGGUAGAGGGUGGUGGAAUUUCCUGUGUAGCGGUGAAAUGCGUAGAUAUAGGAAGGAACACCAGUGGCGAAGGCGACCACCUGGACUGAUACUGACACUGAGGUGCGAAAGCGUGGGGAGCAAACAG
RNAcentral lists this ribosomal RNA (208 nucleotides) under uncultured bacterium. Its description in RNAcentral is "partial 16S ribosomal RNA". It matches the Rfam family "Bacterial small subunit ribosomal RNA", at positions 568 to 775 of the family's 1533-position model. The record is from RNAcentral.